AGCUUCACUGUUCCCUGGGAUUGGUUUUAGGCUUUUCCUGUGUAGCUUAUGUGGAAGGCGAAGAAGGCCUCCUUCUAGGGGGCCAGAGCCAUGAGUGAGAUACCACUCGGGAAGAGCUAGAAUUCUAACCUUGUGUUAAGACCUACGGGCCAAGGGACAGUCUCAGGUAGACAGUUUCUAUGGGGCAUAGGCCUCCCAAAAGGUAACGGAGGCAUGCAAAGGUUUCCUCGGGCCGAACGGAGAUUAGCCCUCGAGUGCAAAGGCAGAAGGAAGUUUGACUAAAGCCCCGGUGAAAGGCGGUCGUAACUAUAAUGGUCCUAAGGUA
Molecule: non-coding RNA, 325 nt
Organism: Gossypium raimondii (Peruvian cotton)
Lineage: Eukaryota; Viridiplantae; Streptophyta; Magnoliopsida; Malvales; Malvaceae
Source: Rfam